AUUGACAGUUGGCCAUUUUGUUAAAAUUGUCAUUCACAGUCAUUCACUGUUUAGUGGGUACGCUGUGCAUUAGUGCUUUCUGUUUCCGAUUUCUACGCUUUUGCAUUCUCAUUUUGGACUUUUGUUUUGCUUUACGAUUUGGCUGGACAUAUUUUUCUUGGAAGGACGACCUUUGCACGGCAUCACGGACUUUGAUAUAGCGCAUACGAUUGGUAUUAUUUCUCAAGGAGUAAUCAGGAUCAGGAGGUUAUAAUGAGCGAGCCGCAGCCAGGUUCGUCGGGGACUGCUCCGCCGCCGCCGGUCAAAAAACCAAAAUUGGCUGUUAAAAAACAGUUAUCGCAAAGGGAGAAAAAAAUUUUGGUGAAUAUUUAUAAUCACUUGGAGAAAACCUCUCCUACAUACCCAUCAAAAAUGGAAUUAUAUAAAACCACCUCAAAAAUAAUGGACGUCUCAGAAUAUAUUGUUCGUGACGUAAUGAAACAUUACACACAAAAUCAAGAAGUACCCCAGCCUAAGGAGAGACCUGCAAAUCGAGCCAUAAUUGAUAAGUUAGAUGAUUUUAUCUUAUCUGCAAUAAGAAGAAAGGUUCAUAAAUUUUACUUUGAUGGGGAAUUGCCAACCAUUGCCAAAAUUUUUAAAGCAGUCAAUGAAGAUGACAGCCUACCAAAUUUUACAUUCGGUACAAUGUAUAGAAUAUUGAAGAAAUUAAACUUCACAUACCUACUGCAAGCGAUCAAGAACUGCACCGAAGCGGAGCAGAGCGUUUCCCACAUAGCGGCCACAAUACAAGGCACCAGUUUGCGCUAUGUAGGGAGAUGCUAAAUCAAAUUUAAAGCCAAACGAAUAUUAUUACUUGGCAUAACGUAUGCCAUAGCAUUAUUAGGGUAUUCAAGAUUUGGCCAUACC
Molecule: long non-coding RNA, 906 nt
Organism: Plutella xylostella (diamondback moth)
Lineage: Eukaryota; Metazoa; Arthropoda; Insecta; Lepidoptera; Plutellidae
Source: RefSeq, a predicted model, not a curated record